UCUUAUCCUAAAGUUACUUUAAUUUGAUGCAUACCUUGAAUUUUAUGGAUUGAUUAAUUAAGGGGGAGAAAGAAAAUUUCAGAGGGAGAGAUCAUAUAGAACUUAAUCAUGUAAAUUCACAACUAAAGAUAAGAGAAAGAAUACUAAAUGUAAAGUGGUAUUAAACUUUGUGCUUCAUUGAAUAUCUUUUGAAAGUUGGAUUUUUCAUCUGUACUUAAUUGGUAAACCACUUGUUUUGAAAACUAAGUGAAAAGGAUUCCAGUUGUCUUAGCAUUGAAAAUUUACUUUGGAAUCCACUAAUGAUCUCUUAUUGGCUUGCACUUUAGUGUUUCAAUCCUGAGCCAAUUCAUUUUAAUUGAUUUUGAUGCUAUGAUCUUUAAAGGAGUAAAAGAAAGUCUUUAAGAGAGCUUUAAAAGAACUUUCAAAGCCCUGAAUUUUAUGUAUCCUACAUUGCAUAAAUUCAUAUCUUGGUAUCUAUGCUCCAAUACUUUUAUAUCAUGAAAGAACUU
Molecule: long non-coding RNA, 509 nt
Filed under: Phoenix dactylifera (date palm)
Lineage: Eukaryota; Viridiplantae; Streptophyta; Magnoliopsida; Arecales; Arecaceae
Description: long non-coding RNA (PDAC_LNC022713)
Source: RNAcentral